GCUUUCUUUGUUUUGCCCUUAGGGAGCAGGCGAUUUAGACAACCCGCGGUAACAUCGGCGUAUUCAUUGAUAAUUUUUCAUUAUUGUGCUACUGCUUUAUUACAAUGUUAAUACCUUCCAGAAGUCUACCAAUCUUUUUCUUUUUUGCCCUUAGGGAGUUGUUCAUUAUCACGUUCGAAUGCUGUCUUUGAUUUGCUUUUUGAAACUAAGUUUGGGAAACAAAAUAAUUUUUGUUCAGUCGAUGUACCUCGUUACGCGUGUAGCAUGGUUUCGAGCGACGACGAGAUUGUUCGACCACUGAAACGAUUUUGACAAGCGAAAACCACUGGGGAGGAAGAAGAAGAAGUAUUAGGCCAAGCUGUACUCAAGUCUACUCGAUACAAAUCAAAGUCAAUGGGCGGUAAAUUUAUUUGAAAGCUGGCGUAAAUCACGGAUCAACAAAGACCCAGCUCUGCAAUUGAAUAUUUCGCGCUAGAAGAUAUAGAAGACCUUGGUGUUGACUGGGUUGAAAUGUCUACACUUUCACUCGACUUCUGGAUUGAAAAGCUCCUACAAGACGUUUCUGAUAAGCAAGAGGUGAAAGAUAUCCAGCCAGAACCUUGAGCCAGAUUGUGAGUGGUUUAAAGCGACACAGCUGUAGUCAAAACAUCGAACAGAUGGAUUUGACCAGAAUGAAAAACAUUUGAUUGUUGGCACCUCACCAAUAUAACCCAUGGAAUAAGACAAGCCAUAGUACGAGUGACAAGCAGGGAUGGAUGUAGUUACUGCUAGAUGUAUGCCUCACGUUAGCUUCUGCAUCAGGUCUUCUCGAUACUGUGAAAUCAUAAGAUACAAACUGUACCACUGUGCUUUAUAUCACAAGUACCACAUAUUGGAACCCCUAAAUGUUAACAAGGAGCUGAAUACCUGAAGGGUAAGUCUUUGUUGUCUUGUCGAUUUCAGGCUUUUUGAAAGAAUUGCUGA
This is a long non-coding RNA of Actinia tenebrosa (Australian red waratah sea anemone), 963 nucleotides long. RefSeq lists it as uncharacterized. Lineage: Eukaryota; Metazoa; Cnidaria; Anthozoa; Actiniaria; Actiniidae. The record is from RefSeq and is a predicted model, not a curated record.